GCAAAUUCAUUACAGUUGUAACUUUUAGGUGCUACGUGUAAUUCAGCAUAGGGCAAAGCCCUCUUUUAUAACCAACCUAACCAUUUUAUGGAACUUUAACAAAAUAAGCCGAGUAGUACCGUAGAAAAAACAUUUGACUGUGCAUCUCAAGUCUCACCUUGAGAGCUGACUAUCAAAGAAUGCUGUUAGAAAGAGCUCUCUCUGUGAUGUUCUGCUUCUUUAGUUAAGAAGGAAAUAAGUGACACACUUUUUAGAGGAAUCCAGGCAGUGGGUAGAAGGUCAGAUUAGUGCUCGCUAGAGAUCCACCCAAAGCUCCACGGCUUCUUCUAGCUCAGAAAAUACAGAUACUUAGAAUAUAAUUUUUUUCCAUUUUAAUUGGACACAUAGGUUAACAGUAUGUUUUACUUUCAAUAUUUAUUGCUGGUGAUGUUUAUUACUUAUGUGAUAUCAAGUGUUUGAUCAGGAAUCAAUCCUAACUACAAUGAUGUUCUGGGAAAACAUUUUGCUUUAUAAGGAGUACACUGUAGUAAAAAGUAGAGCCCAUCCGUGAAACAUUAGAAAAUACUAGUCCCAAAAGAAGUAACAUUUAUCACCCCAAACCUGGUAUUCAUGCAUUUAGAGAUAACACUGUAAAAUAUGUGAUGUUAUUUUGUUACCUCUCAAAUCCAUCAAAAAAUAAAUGAUUCCAAAUGUACAUUUAUAUUUGCAGCAAAUUUUAAGAUAGACAGUACUUUUAAAGUAGGCAUUUAAACUCAACACAUGAAAAGCUGAAAUGCGAUGUUAAAUGACAUCUGAAGAUUUUGAAAUGCAUUUAAAAAUCCAAAUAAAGCACCACAAUUUCCUUAAGUUAUUUCCUUUAUUUUAUAGUGUCAAAAACUUAAAGAUAGGCUUGGGCAAACAUAUAAGGUGUAUAUCUCACAAUUCAGAACUAUGCAAAGAAUUUUUCAAUAUGACCACAAAAUUUACAUACUUUAGUGUAGCGAGUAAUGCUUACUUUUGAACUCUAUCAUUGAUGCUACUUCUAAAGAACAAUGACCCAACCAGAAAGAGUAAAGGCUGCCUUUUCGUUUUUAAAGUGCUAUUAGCCUUAUAUUCAAAAACAAUGGUUUUUACAAAUACAUAAUAUUGAAAGGUAUUCAAAAAGUCACUACUUACAGAAUUAAACAUGUCAUUCUCUAACUUUGCACGUGUACACUGGUUUUAUUUGUGUUAAUAAAGACUGCCCUCCAAGGCUCUCAAUCACAUGCUUCAAAUUAAGAUAGUGUGUAAGUACCAGCAGCAUGAACAAACUCCAAAACAAUUUAAAUGGGUCACAGCAGACCAGAGAAAUUAUUAACAGCUUUUUCUUUUUUUUUUUUUUUUGAGACAGUGUCACCCUGGUUAGAGUACGAUGGUUUCAUAGCUCACAGCAACCUCAAACUCUUGGGCUCAAGGGAUCCUCCUGCCUCA
Long non-coding RNA from Nycticebus coucang (slow loris), 1449 nucleotides. RefSeq lists it as uncharacterized. The record is from RefSeq and is a predicted model, not a curated record. Lineage: Eukaryota; Metazoa; Chordata; Mammalia; Primates; Lorisidae. The transcript has 2 exons.